This is a long non-coding RNA of Passer domesticus (house sparrow), 468 nucleotides long. RefSeq lists it as uncharacterized. NCBI's taxonomy places the organism in Eukaryota, Metazoa, Chordata, Aves, Passeriformes, Passeridae. The record is from RefSeq and is a predicted model, not a curated record. The transcript is spliced from 3 exons.
UCCAAGUCUUUGCCGUAGUAGGGAAAAGGAAAGCUUAGCCACAGUAGUGACCAGCUUUUGAUGACGGCCAGUAGUCCAGUACAGAGUUUGCUGAGUGCGUUGCUCCUGACGAGCGUCACGUAUGGGCAGGAGCUGCAUCAAGAGCACAGUGAGGCACCCACAUCUCCAAAGCACACCUGAUCAGAGUUCCCCUGUGCCAAUAACGCUGCCAACAUUGACAAGAAUUUAAUUCAGAAAGAAAUUUAAAUUAGAAUGAAUAAUUUUUUAGCAACAAUUUCAAAUUGUGCAAUGUCUCAAGCCAAAACAAUUUCAGAGUGAUGUUCAUCAGCCUCAGCAAGAUCAGCACUGUAAUGGGAACAUUGCCUUCAGGUAACCUUGACUUUGUGAACAGAGAGAGCACCAACCUUUACCCAUGCAAGUCUGGUAGACACCACCUCUGUUUUGUCUUCUUUAAGCAAGUACAUGAAG